UACAGAGGGGGCAAGCGUUGUCCGGAUUUAUUGGGUUUAAAGGGUGCGUAGGCGGUCUUCUAAGUCAGUUGUGAAAUACUUCAGCUUAACUGGAGAGGUGCAAUUGAUACUGGAAGACUUGAGUACUGAUGAGGUAGGCGGAAUGGACGGUGUAGCGGUGAAAUGCUUAGAUAUCGUCCAGAACACCGAUAGCGAAGGCAGCUUACUAAGGAGUAACUGACGCUGAGGCACGAAAGUGUGGGGAUCAAACAGG
Molecule: ribosomal RNA, 253 nt
Filed under: uncultured bacterium
Lineage: Bacteria
Description: partial 16S ribosomal RNA
Rfam family: Bacterial small subunit ribosomal RNA
Source: RNAcentral